Molecule: transfer RNA, 66 nt
Filed under: Eubasilissa sinensis
Lineage: Eukaryota; Metazoa; Arthropoda; Insecta; Trichoptera; Phryganeidae
Description: tRNA-Cys
Source: RNAcentral
AGUUUUAUAUUCAAUAUAAUGAUAUUAAAUUGCAAAUUUAAAGUAGUAAAAAGAUUACUAAAACUU